Molecule: ribosomal RNA, 400 nt
Filed under: uncultured bacterium
Lineage: Bacteria
Description: bacterial SSU rRNA
Rfam family: Bacterial small subunit ribosomal RNA
Source: RNAcentral
GAGCGGGUGUAGCAAUACACCAGCGGCAGACGGGAGAGUAACACGUGGGAACGUGCCCUUCAGUUCGGAACAACCCCAGGGAAACUUGGGCUAAUACCGGAUACGUCCGUAAGGAGAAAGAUUUAUCGCUGAAGGAUCGGCCCGCGUCUGAUUAGCUAGUUGGUGAGGUAAUGGCUCACCAAGGCGACGAUCAGUAGCUGGUCUGAGAGGAUGAUCAGCCUCACUGGGACUGAGACACGGCCCAGACUCCUACGGGAGGCAGCAGUGGGGAAUAUUGGACAAUGGGCGCAAGCCUGAUCCAGCCAUGCCGCGUGGAUGAUGAAGGCCCUAGAGUUGUAAAGUCCUUUCGGCGGGGAAGAUAAUGACGGUACCCGCAGAAGAAGCCCCGGCUAACUUCGUG